UGAUUGGACGUGCUUGCACGGACUUGACGUUGGUUUACCAGCGAGUGGCGGACGGGUGAGUAACACGUAGGUAACCUGCCCCAAAGCGGGGGAUAACAUUUGGAAACAGAUGCUAAUACCGCAUAACAAUUUGAAUCGCAUGAUUCAAAUUUAAAAGAUGGCUUCGGCUAUCACUUUGGGAUGGACCUGCGGCGCAUUAGCUUGUUGGUAGGGUAACGGCCUACCAAGGCUGUGAUGCGUAGCCGAGUUGAGAGACUGAUCGGCCACAAUGGAACUGAGACACGGUCCAUACUCCUACGGGAGGCAGCAGUAGGGAAUCUUCCACAAUGGGCGCAAGCCUGAUGGAGCAACACCGCGUGAGUGAAGAAGGGUUUCGGCUCGUAAAGCUCUGUUGUUAGAGAAGAACGUGCGUGAGAGCAACUGUUCACGCAGUGACGGUAUCUAACCAGAAAGUCACGGCUAACUACGUGCCAGCAGCCGCGGUAAUACGUAGGUGGCAAGCGUUAUCCGGAUUUAUUGGGCGUAAAGCGAGCGCAGGCGGUUUGAUAAGUCUGAUGUGAAAGCCUUUGGCUUAACCAAAGAAGUGCAUCGGAGACUGUCAGACUUGAGUGCAGAAGAGGACAGUGGAACUCCAUGG
This 637-nucleotide ribosomal RNA is filed under the name Limosilactobacillus mucosae. Its description in RNAcentral is "bacterial SSU rRNA". It matches the Rfam family "Bacterial small subunit ribosomal RNA", at positions 45 to 674 of the family's 1533-position model. The record is from RNAcentral. Lineage: Bacteria; Bacillati; Bacillota; Bacilli; Lactobacillales; Lactobacillaceae.